Molecule: transfer RNA, 75 nt
Filed under: Rickettsiales bacterium
Lineage: Bacteria; Pseudomonadati; Pseudomonadota; Alphaproteobacteria; Rickettsiales
Description: tRNA-Thr
Rfam family: tRNA
About the family: Transfer RNA (tRNA) molecules are approximately 80 nucleotides in length. Their secondary structure includes four short double-helical elements and three loops (D, anti-codon, and T loops).
Source: RNAcentral
GCCGAUGUAGCACAGUGGUAGUGCAGUGCUUUCGUAAAGCAAAGGUCGGGGGUUCAAAUCCCUCCAUCGGCACCA